GUGCCAGCAGCCGCGGUAAUACAGAGGGUGCUAACGUUGUUCGGAAUUACUGGGCAUAAAGCGCGCGCAGGCGGUCCGCUAAGUGUGGAGUGAAAGCCCACGGCUUACCCGUGGAAUGGCUCUGCAUACUGACGGACUAGAGGACGGUAGGGGAGAGCGGAACUCUUGGUGGAGCGGUGAAAUGCGUAGAUAUCAAGAGGAACACCGAUGGCGAAGGCAGCUCUCUGGUCCGUUUCUGACGCUGAGGCGCGAAAGCUAGGGUAGCAAACGGGAUUAGAUACCCCCGUAGUCC
RNAcentral lists this ribosomal RNA (292 nucleotides) under uncultured bacterium. Its description in RNAcentral is "partial 16S ribosomal RNA". It matches the Rfam family "Bacterial small subunit ribosomal RNA", at positions 505 to 796 of the family's 1533-position model. The record is from RNAcentral.